This 865-nucleotide ribosomal RNA is filed under the name uncultured cyanobacterium. Its description in RNAcentral is "bacterial SSU rRNA". It matches the Rfam family "Bacterial small subunit ribosomal RNA", at positions 8 to 914 of the family's 1533-position model. The record is from RNAcentral. Lineage: Bacteria; Bacillati; Cyanobacteriota.
AGAGUUUGAUCCUGGCUCAGGACGAACGCUGGCGGUGUGCUUCACACAUGCAAGUCGAACGAGGUAGCAAUACCUAGUGGCGGACGGGUGAGUAACGCGUGGGAGUCUGCCUUUAGAUGGGGGAUAACGAGCCGAAAGGUUCGCUAAUACCGCAUAUGCCGCAAGGUGAAAGGAGUAAUCCGUCUAAAGAUGAGCCCGCGUCCGAUUAGCUAGUUGGUGGGGUAAAGGCCUACCAAGGCGACGAUCGGUAGCUGGUCUGAGAGGAUGAUCAGCCACAAUGGGACUGAGACACGGCCCAUACUCCUACGGGAGGCAGCAGUGGGGAAUUUUACGCAAUGGGGGAAACCCUGACGUAGCGACACCGCGUGAGCGAAGAAGCCCCUUGGGGUGUAAAGCUCUGUCAGCUGGAACGAAACAAAUGACGGUACCAGCAGAGGAAGCAUCGGCUAACUACGUGCCAGCAGCCGCGGUAAGACGUAGGAUGCGAGCGUUGUCCGGAUUUAUUGGGCGUAAAGAGUUCGUAGGUGGUUUGUUAAGUUUGAUGUUAAAGAUCGGGGCUCAACCUCGGGACAGCAUUGAAUACUGGCAGACUUGAGUAUGGUAGAGGCUAGUGGAAUUCCCAGUGUAGCGGUGAAAUGCGUAGAUAUUGGGAAGAACACCGGUGGCGUAGGCGACUAGCUGGGCCAUAACUGACGCUGAGGAACGAAAGCCAGGGGAGCGAAAGGGAUUAGAUACCCCUGUAGUCCUGGCCGUAAACGAUGGAUACUAGGCGUAUCGGGUAUCGACCCCUGAUGUGCCGCAGCUAACGCGAUAAGUAUCCCGCCUGAGUAGUACGGCCGCAAGGUUGAAACUCAAAUGAAUUGAC